RNAcentral lists this ribosomal RNA (766 nucleotides) under Gynacantha japonica. RNAcentral's name for it is "partial 16S ribosomal RNA". The record is from RNAcentral. Lineage: Eukaryota; Metazoa; Arthropoda; Insecta; Odonata; Aeshnidae.
UUAAGAUAAUAUUCUUACAUAAUUUAUUAUUGUUAAUUAUUUAGAGAAAUAUCUUUAAUUUUAGUAUACUAAAGAAAAAAUUAAUUUGUGAUAGUUUAUUAGUACUGUGAAGGAAUUAGAUGAAAUAAUAUUGAAAAAUUUUCUUUAUUUAAGUAAAUUUAUUUUAUUGUACCUUUUGUAUCAGGGUUGAUCAAAUAUAUUUAAUAUAUUAUUAUUUUCUCGAUUUCAGAAGAGCUACUUAAUUAAUUUAGUUACUGUAUCAUGAUUAUUAAUAAUAUUAAUUAGAGAAGAAAUUUCAUUCGUUUUUAAAGGUAUCUAGUUUUUUAAGAAAUAAAUUAAAUUUAGAAUUAUAACUUAUUAAAUUAAUUUUUUAAUUUAAUAUAGUAUAAUAUUAAAAUAAUAGGGGAUAAGCUCUAUUUUUAUUCUAUAAAUUGUUUAAAAAUUCAAUUUAUGUAGGGUUAAGAUCAUCCAUCAUUUAAAAGUACGUUAUAGUAAAAAUUGAUUUAAUUUGAUUUAUUUAAUUUUAGUAUUUUAUUAAAAUAAUAAAUUUAACUAUAAAUUUUAUGAAAUAAUGAUUAAAUUAGUAUAAUUAUUUAUAAAAAGUUAUUAAAUUGAGAUGAUUGAAUAAGGAACUCGGCAAAUAAACACUCGCCUGUUUAACAAAAACAUGUCUUCUUGUUAUAUUUAGGAAGUCUGGCCUGCCCAGUGAAAAUAAUUUAACGGCCGCGGUAUACUGACCGUGCAAAGGUAGCAUAAUCAUUNNCCU